UACGUAGGGUGCGAGCGUUGUCCGGAAUUAUUGGGCGUAAAGAGCUUGUAGGCGGUUUGUCGCGUCUGCUGUGAAAAUCCGGGGCUCAACCCCGGACUUGCAGUGGGUACUGGCAGACUGGAGUGUGGUAGGGGAGACUGGAAUUCCUGGUGUAGCGGUGAAAUGCGUAGAUAUCUGGAGGAACACCGGUGGCGAAGGCAGCGCGCUGGGACGAUACUGACGCUAAGGCGCGAAAGCGUGGGGAGCGAACAGG
This 253-nucleotide ribosomal RNA is filed under the name uncultured bacterium. RNAcentral's name for it is "partial 16S ribosomal RNA". It matches the Rfam family "Bacterial small subunit ribosomal RNA", at positions 524 to 776 of the family's 1533-position model. The record is from RNAcentral.